GACGAACCGUGCGAACGUUGUUCGGAAUCACUGGGCUUAAAGGGCGCGUAGGCGGGGUGGCAAGUCUGUGGUGAAAUCCUCCGGCUCAACCGGAGAACUGCCGUGGAUACUGCCACUCUCGAGGGGUGUAGGGGCAUGUGGAACUCAGGGUGGAGCGGUGAAAUGCGUAGAUAUCCUGAGGAACGCCGGUGGCGAAAGCGACGUGCUGGACACCUACUGACGCUGAGGCGCGAAAGCCAGGGGAGCGAACGGG
RNAcentral lists this ribosomal RNA (253 nucleotides) under uncultured bacterium. Its description in RNAcentral is "partial 16S ribosomal RNA". It matches the Rfam family "Bacterial small subunit ribosomal RNA", at positions 524 to 776 of the family's 1533-position model. The record is from RNAcentral.